UCCUGAUUGCUGAAUUUGAAAUUGAAUGUAUUCCUCUAUUAUCCAGCCGGGCUCCUGACUUCACAAAAAUAAACAAAACAAAGAAAACUUUGUGCCCCAAUUUGGAAAACAGGGGUUUGUUACCACAUAAUAAUAAGAACUAAACUUGAAUUGUGAUAAGGCUGAAAUGCAACUUUUAAAACUUUUAAAUACAGAAAUGUACCGUAAAAUUUGAAAUUUACCUUAGGUGAAAAAUUCAUCAAACUAAGAUUUUCAUCUUAGGUGAAAGAUUCAACUGACUCAGACUAAGAUUUUCAUCUUAGGAGAAAGAUUCAACAGACUAAGACCUUUAUUAUCUUAGGUGAAAAUUUCAUCACACUAAGAUAUUCAUCUUAUGAGAAAGAUUCAACAGACUAAGAUUCCGACUCUAGGAAAUAAUUCAUCAGACUAGGUCCAUUUUUGUGUGAUCUCAGGAGAAAGAUUCAUCGGACUGAGAUUUUUUCCUCUAUGAGAUAAUUCAUCAGACUACGUCCAUUUUUCGACUUCAGAAUUUCUUAAUUUUCCAAAUUCCAACUUCCUUUAUUUUCAAAUUCUGUCGUCCUUUCUUGUUCCCAAAUUACACAUUCCUUUCUUUUUUCCGACUUUUGCCUUCCCCUUCUUUUUCAAAAUUAUGCCUUCUUUUCUUUUUCCAACUUUUGCCUUUCUUUUUUCCAAAUUAUGCCUUCCUUUCCCUUUUCCAACUUCUGACUUUAUCUCAUCAGACUAAGAUUUUUAUCUUAGGUAAAAAAUUCAUCGGACUAAGAUCUUCUACCUUCAUCUUAUGUGAAAGAUUUAUCAGACUAAGAUUUCUAUCUUAGGUGAAAAAUUCAACAUAUUAUGAUUCUUCUAUUAACCAUUUUCCUCCGAAACAUGUUUUGUAUAGCCUCUUGAAUUAACUUCCUCCAGAACUGCUUUCCUGAAAACUGGUCAUUCACCGAAAAUUACUUUUCUUAAUACUGGUGUUUCUCUCCUGAAAAACUUCCCUCUUUUUUCCUUUUUUCAAAAACUUGUCUUGACCUUCAUGUUCUUCAUAUGGGUAUCCAACUUCAAGAAAAUUUUUGACAUGACAGAGAAUUUUCUGCCCCUGUUUGAUAAUCCUCCAGUAGCAUAUUCUUUCCGCCGUCAAUAACGUUUCCAUGUUCCUAUUUCAAAUCAAGGAAAAUUCCAUCAGUUUAAAGUGCGGUGGUUGGUUGUGGUACUCCUGCUGGGAUGACUUUCCUUUUCUCCUUUCCAUGCCCCGUGUUGUCCGACAAUCUUUGAAACUUGGCUGAUAAUUUUCGCCCUUUUUGAUUACUACCUCUCAAUUAUUACUUCUACUCUUCUGUCAAACCCCAUAUGUUUUCUAUGACAACUGACUCUUCUUGAAGAUCUUGCAUGUUUACUGAUUAACCACUUUCUCCGUCAUCUGCGCCACCAAAAUACUCUUUUCCCCAUUCAUAUCCAAUAUCUUCUGUUGGUUGCACCGCUCAUGAACUGGCAUUUUCCUGACCUUUAAGUCUUACAUCAAUUCCCAAAUUAUGUCUAUUGCCCCCAUAGUAUGUUGUUACUUCUGAAUCACAACCCCUAGUCCCUUGACCCUGAAGUCUAUUUCUCAUUCGCUUGACCCUUGUCACAUAAAAUAUCUAUUCUUCGUUCAAACCCAAUACCCUCCUUCUGUUGCAUUACUGCUGAACCGACAUCUACCAAACUUUGUGUUUCGCCAGGAUCCCAAAGUAUGUUGAUUAUCAUCAGCUCAGUGCUCUUGUUGUUUUCCUAACUUGUGACCCCAUUUUGUACAAUUGGAAAGCUGGUGGCAAUUUUUGAAGUCAUUUCUCACUCAUUACGACCAAAAAGACUCAGAAAAGGAAAAUAAACAAAACAGAGGAAUAAAGUGAAAGACAAAGGAAAGAUACGAUUCUGAAAGAGGAGACUACGAAGUAGAAAACUAUCAGAUGUGAGUACCAACUCUAACGACCACGACAUGCACUUAUAGAUAUUUUGUCAAUCAAUUCUGAUGCUCAGCUAUUGUUGUUCCUUUUUCUGUGAAACUGGGCUUCAAUUCUCCGCUUAUCCCAUUUGAUUCAUAUUCUUUAUUCGGCUUGUAGUGCCCAAGUAGAUAUUCUGUCAACCAAUUCUGACGUUCAGUUGUUGUUGUUCCUUUCGCGGUGAAAUUGGGCUUCAAUGCUCCGCUUAUCCAUUUAAUUCGCAUUCCUUAUUUGGCUUGUAGUGCCCAAAGUGUUUUCACCAACAAACCUCUCUCAUUUUGUUCUUUCUCUCAACUUACCGUCGCCUCAAGGUGCCCGUGAAGGUUUUCACCAAUAAGACUCUCUCAUUUUCUUUGCUCUCAGCUUUCGUUGUCUUGCGGUACCCGUGAGGGUUUUCAUCAUUUCGGCUCUCUCAUUUUCAGUUUUCUUGCUUGGACCCCAGUGGUUUUAUUUCUCUCAGCUUUCAUCGCCUUGCGGUACCCGUGAAGGUUUUCAUCAAUCCGGCUCUCUCUCAUUUUUAUUUUCCUUGCUUGGACCGGAGUGUUGCCCCUGGCAUGAAUUACCCUUACCUGCUUGACUUGGCAUUUUUCAAAAAACUGAUAGGAAGGUCUUUCUUUGGCCUAUGAUGUGGAUUUUGGACGAGGUUAGAAAAGAAGGGUAUAAAAGGCUAAAAAGAAUGUCAAAAUGGGUUAAAAAAUACAACCUUCGAAAUCCUAUUUCUUUCAACAGUCGCAACUUUUGCCCUAGGUUUUUGGUUGGUAACUUUUGGAAUUUUAUUUUGGCAUAAAUGAACCUCAGAGAGGCUGCCUACGUACCCUUUUGGGAUCAAGUCAAACGUAGUUCACGUUAUAGAAACUACGUUGUUGUGAUCUUUCUCUUUUUUCUGUUUUUUCCUUUCUUUUAUUCAUUUUUCUUUUUCUUUCUUUUCUUUCUUCUCUUUCUUUCUUUUCUUUUCUUUCCUUUUCUUUUCUCUUUUUUUUCCUUGUAUUUUUUCCUUUCUUUCUCCUUUUCUCUUCUUCCUUUUCUUCCUUUUUUUCCUUUCUUUCUUUUCUUUUUCCAUUUUUUCAUUUGCUUAUCUCCGACACCUGCGUUUCUUUGAUUGUGCCGUUGACUCCGAAAGAGGGGUAUGAAAGAAAAUAAAUAAGGCUCAAAGAGGGUGACGAAAUGGUAAAGUUUUUUAGAUAUCAGAACAAAGAAUUGACGGCCACACAUUUUCCUUCUAUAUUUGUUAGAUAUAAUGUGCAAUUGGGCAACAUUAUUACUCUUAUUACCUCGAUCGGCCCUUGUUAUUUGGCCAACUUGCCUUUACCGAAUUUUUUCAUGUUUACUUGCCCCAGUUUCACAAGGCUCGGGCUUCAAAUAAUCUCAAAACGUCCAAAUCAGUUCUUAUUACCUUAAGUGCCCUCAUCAUCUUCAAAAUGGUCUCAUUGCUUCCCGACCAAUAUAGCUUUUAAUGAUCUAACUGAGAAUUAUGCAUGCAUGCCAUGUCACUAUAGCCAACAGGAAAAGAAUUGUAGAAAGAAAAGAGAACUAAAAAAUGACUAGAAAUGGAAGAAAAUAGAGAAUUGUAUUAAACAGACGGUGAAAGGGUUUAACAAGCAACACAAAUCGGGAUACAAUCCUAAAACAAACAUAGAUACACUACAUGAGAUAUGACAACUAAAGGAACUAUACAAAUAAAAGGAUUCAAGGGUUUGAAUCAAAAGAAAAUAUCUGGAUUACAACCCUGAAAAUAAUCCGGACAACAGAAAUGACAACAAAAUAAACCACAAAGACUUCUCUCCAGCUAGCCAAGAGAUGAAGCGUCCUUCCAAUUACCAAGCUCAACAUCUUAGCCACCAAGUUUUGAUUCAACAAUACUGAGGCCUUCAAAUAACUCUUCCAAGGAAAUCAUAUCCGGCAUGUGCAUCUCAUUUUGCCCAGACGGCGGACUUUGGCUGGUGUCAGUUGCAUCUAGAUUUGGCACGACAAUAUUGCUAGCAUCAAUAAGCCCCUGAAUUACUUUCUUCAGCUUCCAACACUUUUUUGUGUCAUGUCCCGGGGCAUUUGAGCAAUAUACGCACCUUUGGGAAAAAUCCAACUUCUUUGAAAGAGGGCUUGGUAUUUUUAUCUGAAUAGGCUUCAACACGCCCGAAUUCUUUAGCCUUUGGAACAGAUUAGCGUAUGACUCCCCCAAGGCUGUGUAGGAUUUAUUUUUCUGCAACUUCGUAAUCCUAAAUUCUCGAUUUGGCCAGAAACCUGAUCCAGGGACAUAACAUCGGGGAGGGUCAGCUGGUGUACAAGGAUAUCCAUGGGGCUUAGCAAGAACGGCCACUGGACCCUGUCACCGGUGGAAGGAAUGACUUUGUAUUUGGACAUAUGACGGGAUGUUGUUUGGAGGAUAGUACUGAGGUGGCUUUUGUGGAGUUUGGGGACGUUUACGGGGUCGGUAUGGAGGCUGAAAGCAUUUACCAAGAAUGACCAACGGGCCCUGCUGUUGGUAGAGGGAGUGACCUAGUGUUUGGACACCUGACCGACCAUUAUCUGGAGGAUAAUGCUAAGGUAGCUUAGGUGAGGCUCGGGGACAAGUUUUUUUUUGGAGUUUAGGAUGAAGACACUUGGCAGGAAUGACUACUGGGAUCUGUUGUUGGCGUGGCUCAACAAUAUCUUUUUUAUCAACGGAAGGAGUAUCCUAAGAAACUUGUUCGUUCCAUCUGACCCAAAAUUCUCCGAAACUUCCAUUGGGUUUCUUUUCCAUAUGAGAUGGGAGGACUGGUUUGUGACAAUAUCUUUGUUUUAUUAAAAAUGUCACAAAACAUCCUGAGCCAUGUCGCCUAAUGUGUGCCACUUUCUGACAUCUUGACGAUCAAUCCAUUCCAACACUGCCCCAGUCAGGCUCUCACUAAAAUGCGACAUCCACAACGCAUCUUCCUUGCCGACAUUCCUCGUUUUAUUCUAACAAUCCCUAAAGUGGGCUACUGGAUCUCCCCGCCCAUCAUACAAAUUAAGCUUUGACAUCUUAAACCUUUCCAGCUUUCUGGAUAUCUUAUCCCGCUCCAGUGUUUUACCAAGCUUCGUAGUCUCACGGGGAGACCCAAAAUGAAGAGCAUGAUGGUAUGGACUCGAGGCCUUGACAAUUAGUUCUGGAGCAUGAUGUUGGGCAUCGGGGACUGAUGGCGGAGGAUACCCACUGGCCCAAGCUUUGUGCAUUCCGACUAUCUAUCUUUUCAACCUCAAAACAUCUUCUUUCAACUCAGAUUUUGAUUCAACAAUGCCCCUAGGCGGAUCGGCAAUACCUGUGUUCAACCCUUUGCCAGCCAUGACUGCCCUUCUUUUCGACCUUGUGUUGUAUGGAUGAGUUACCACAAACCAACCACCUCAACUUUCUUCACAAUUCAAAGCAGGACAUGUUAGAAUGGAUUGAGUUGGUCCUCAUUAUCAACAUAUUUUCCAUUUUUUUUUUCUAUAUUCAAUUAUUUUCCAUUUUUUUUGGUUGUAGUCGAAUUUUAUGGAGUUUGCCUACGUAUCAUGACUCUGCAUGAAUCAGACCGUGCGUAGUUCUUGCAAAUAAAAGGUAAACGACAAUAAAACUUUUAUGAAAUUUUUCAUUUUCAUAAUAACAAUAAAACGGACCAACUUAACGGAGGAAUACAGACCCAAAAAUGAAACGACCCAUAUACUCUAAUCAAAAGAAAUACAAACCUAAAAUUAAAAUGACAAAUUCCUUCUUAUAUAUGCCAAUUUUGACCCUAAAUGCGAACGGUAUUCACUUGACCACUGACUCUUCUUUUUUUUUUUCUUGUUUUUCAAAUUAAAAUAAAUGACCCGGUAUUGCAAACACGGCCUUCCAGCGUUCGGGGACGAAGAUUUUAAGCCUGUGAGGGUCAAUAAUCAAAAUAUGAUCAAAGGUGGCUGUUUAUGCAAAGUCAGCCUUCCGACGCCCCGUAUGGGAACAUUUGUCUAUCUUUGACAAUAGCGACAUCACCUGGUUUAUUUAUGACAAAAAUUAAAAUUUUAUAUUUUUUGGGCUAUUUUUGCCAAGGGGGAAGGUUGGACCCGAUGAGGGUUGCCUACGUAUCUCACACCCUGUGAGAAUCAAACCAUGCGUAGUUCGGGUAGAUUAACCGAACCAUUUUAAAAUAAGACUUUUUUUUAUUUUUAUUUUUGAUAUUUCAUAAGCAAAACUAAAAACAUCUACUUUUAGAAGACCCUCUUUUUUUUCCUUUUCUUUUUCCAGCAAACAACAUAUUUUCCCCAAACUAAAAAUAAAAGAUUCUUUUCUUUUUCUUUUUCAGCAAACAAUAAAACAACCCAUUUUUUCCGAACUAAAAAUAAAAGUCUUUUUUUUUUCUCUUCUUUUUUUAUCAAAUAAUAAAAUAACCUAUUUUUUCCAUUGGCAAAUAAACUAUUUUGAAACAAGAAAAACAAAAAAUCAAGAGUUUUUUUUAUCUUUUCAUUUUAAUGGCAAAACAAACUAUUUUUCCUUUUCUAUUUUUGAAAACAAGACAAAAUAAUGACUCUUUUUUUCUUUUCAUUUUAAACAAAACGACGUAUUUUCCCAAACUAAAAUACUUUUUUUUAGCAAACAAUUUUCAAAAAGUGAAAUACUUUUUUUUCUAUUUUUCCUUUUCUUUUUAGUAAAACAAUCUAUUUAAUCUUUUUUUUAUUUUUUUAAAAUUUCGGCUGAGUUUCGGCAGUACUUGGGCAUUGGUUUUUCCAAAACCAAUCAAUUAACUCCCCAACUGCUGUCUUUUUCUCUAUUUUUUAAUUUUCUAACACUCCCCAAAUUUAAAAAGCCGAUCAACAUACCGGCCGAAACAAAUAAAUGCACAGAAAAAUAAGUAGGAUGCAUCCCGAUGGUAUUUUUCUUUUGAGGUUACUUAUCCUAGACGGACCCAACCCCUGUGUUAAGUCCCCUAAGUCAACAUGCAUAUGAUGCAGAUAAGCGUUCCUACUAGGGAUUUGGCAUGAAGUUGAGUUAUUCAAGGCUCAAAACCUGGGUGUUUGUUUUAAACCUGGCUUACCCGAGCGGACAGUUCGAGCCGAGUGGGAGGCAGCAGCCCGGGAAUGCAGAAGCUUCGCCGAUUUUGUUGGAAAUUGGACACUAUGCAGAAAAGAAGUCGUACGAAGUACACCCUUCUUCAUGAUUAAGAGGACUCAGAGAGGAGAUUGCUUUCGGCACAAUUUAUAUACAGCUCACGUAAUAUUAAAGCGGUAAAAGUAGUCAACUAGCACAUUUAGCACAUAUCAUGUAACAAAAUCAGAUACAACCAAACGCAUCAAUUAUUCCAAGCUCGAAUCUGAAGCCUGAACACAACGUUCUAGGUUCUUGUCCCCAGCAGAGUCGCCAGAGCUGUCACACCUACUUUUCAAUAUACACCCUCAAGGGCGUAAAGGAGUUUUCCAAUUAAAGGAUAAUCGGAGCAGAAUUUAUUAUUAAUUAUUCAGAGUCGCCACUUGGGGGAUUAAUGGUGUCCCAAGUCACCCGUUGGAUCUCGAAUCGAGGAAAAAGAUGACUCUGUUCACAAACCGCGAACCAGAAAUUCGGAUAAGGAAUUUUGUUAACCCGGGAGAAGAUGUUAGGCGUUCUCGGGUUCCCUUGUUCUAGCACGGCCGCUUUACUGUUGCAUUUAGCUUUUAUCUGAUUUUAUUACAUGAAGAGCCUAUGUGCCAAUUUUUUUUUUACCUUUUACAUCUUUUAUUCAAUAAUUAUUUAUUUAAGAGAAAGUGAACGUCGUUUAAAGAGUUCUUUCGGAUCGCGUCACAUAAAAUGCACCCCCAAUCCUAGGCCCACUCUAUUCAUCGUUUGGGAUUUGAUUUGGGUCUCAUGAAAUGCACACGCGAGUUUAAGAAGGUAAUUUUAUUAGAAUCGCGUAUAGAAGGGUCUAACACGUUAUUAUCUUUUGGAAGGAUAGUGAAAUUUGCUAAACGGCACUUCCUAAUUUUCUAAGUAUUUUUAGGAAAACAAUUAAAUGAGGGUCACACAUUUUGAGAUUUUUAUUUGACGAGGCUCGCCUCAAUUCCAAUUUUAAAGGAUUGUACUCAAUUAAAGCAAACUAUGGUAUUGUUAUUUUCCAAUGUGAAAUGACCAGCUAAAUGAAUUUAUAAAGAAAGAGCCACUUAUAGCAUUCUGCUAGACCGGGCUAGCGGCUCUAGCCGAAUUUGUUUUUUAUCCAACUUCCAAAUUUCAAUUAGUGAAUCCUAUAGUCCCAUUUAGUCCAUAAAUGUCAGAAACUAAAUUUUAAUUGUUAAAUUAAUAUAAACACCUAACAAGAGUAACAUCUGGGGAAGGACGCUAUAAAUAAAGGAAAUCAAAACACUAAAACUAAACAUGAAGCGAGGGGAAACAAUUUCAACCCUAAAUUUCGAUAUUCUACAAAUUCAACAAGAAAUAACAAAUGAAACCAAGGAAAAUUCAGCUAGAUACGUAAGGUUGCAAAGCUAUCCAUUAAUUUGAAAUAAAAAUCCAUGAGUGUACCUUCCAGUUGAAAGACUUCUUAACCUUUUAAGGAGAAGCUUCAAUUUGAAAAUGGACAAUGACACGUCUAAAAAAAAUCACUGGUCGGAGCUCGAACAGCGACCUCAAUCAAAAUGCCUUUGUAUUAAAUGAAUUGAGUUGUAAAUACAAACUUGACGAUCUUUCUAUCUCGACCAUGAAACUAUACCGGCAGCCUCGGACCCAAACCCGAAUCAACUCCAGUUCAUCUCGUUGGACCCAAACUCAGACUCAACUCAAUGGCAAAGCUCAAACGACACACUCAAUCUCGGAGCAAUUGACCUCCAAUUGUUUUUCGGUUUCUUUAACGAUUUCUGACCAAAGACAUUUCCAAUUUCUCGUUCUCCUCCACUGUUUUUGUCCGUCCUCCUCUGUCCCGUUUAUGGACUCUUCCUAUUUUACUCUCUUUUCUUUAUCUAUGUGUAUUUGUUUAUGUAAAAGAUGAAAGAGAUUUUCUCAACCCAUAUCCAAAUUUCCGUUUAUGUGUAUGUGUAUAUUAGGGUGAGUCGGCAGUGAUUCGUUUUGGAGCAGGGAGAUGGGGAAUGAUGGAGGUGAGGAAGGAGAGUUUCCGUGGUGUGUAGAUGAUGACUGUGAGGUGAGGUCCGAUUUUUCGUGUGAUUUUUUGUGUAGUCUUUUUGUGUGGUUUUUUUCAUUGUGUAGAGAAUAGUUUUAUAGAGUUUGUGGAAUGUGGUGUUAUGUGGGAAAGUUUUAUUUGGGGAGAAGGUAUUAUGUGAGGUAAUAUUUUGGGAUGAAGGUUUAGACGUGGAAAUUUUUU
RNAcentral lists this long non-coding RNA (9232 nucleotides) under Nicotiana benthamiana. RNAcentral's name for it is "long non-coding RNA (NBEN_LNC020279)". Lineage: Eukaryota; Viridiplantae; Streptophyta; Magnoliopsida; Solanales; Solanaceae. The record is from RNAcentral.